Biomphalaria pfeifferi is the source of this 341-nucleotide non-coding RNA. NCBI's taxonomy places the organism in Eukaryota, Metazoa, Mollusca, Gastropoda, Planorbidae. The record is from the annotation of a GenBank genome assembly.
AACAUGCCCUGUGUUACAAGACUGUUACAGUGCUUGGACAUCUCAUCCACAUUAUUUAUUUUAACCAAGAAUGAAACAUUCAAAGCAUCUUAAGUGCAAAAGCUUUCAUUUUUAAAGUGAGGUAUUUAAUCUCAGUGUUGUGACAAUAAAAAUUGGUUCAUGAUUCUACUUUGAGUUGCCAAAUUUUAACUUCAAUAAUGGUGGAUGAGAAUUGAAAAUGUGGCUACUACCUAGAUGUCCUGCAACAAAAGUGAAGGUUACAAAAACACAUUUUCAGCAAUCAUGAUCACAAAGCUGUGUCCUAUGAAAUUCAACCCCGCAUCCCCCCCCCCCCCCCCCCC